ACAGCUCACCAUGAACUGCUGGGGAUCCCAGACUGUGCUUGUGUUUUGCUAACUCAGAAAAGUUUGUGCUUUCUCUCUUUGUCUGCGGUGCCCACUCCUCCUUCUAGCUCCAAUCUACAUGAUAUACCCAUCCCCCCUCGCCACCAAAGAGCUGGAGAAUAAGCCUAACAGCAGCAGCAGCUAAAGGCAAAUUGAAGUGCUAAAUAACAGUGGGCAUUAAGGCAUCUGAUUUGACAUUGUGUACUUAUUGAAGCUGCUGUGCCAACAGCCUACAACAAGGAACUGAAGCAGGAAAUAUGACCACCAAAAAAGGAGAGCUUUUCAAUUAUGCUGAAAGUGGAACCAGUGCCCUUGGAAUGUUUAACAUAACCAUGGAGAAUAUAGCAGUAAAUGCCACUGAAGAACCUUUAGAUUUUAGAGGGCCACUACCUAUCAUUAUAUCCCUUGUGUGCAUUUUUCUCCUCCUAGCGACCUGUCUUGUUUUCAUGACACUCUGCAAACCUGCAACAUUAGAUCAGACUCUGUAUGGUCCACAUGAACGUAUGCCUUAUCAUGCAGAAGAUGCUAGUGAACCACAGCUGAGGCUUUGGAAAAGGUUGGGAUCACUGAGAUGUUCGGUCAGCAGCUUCAAAAGAGGUCGACCUACUACUCAGCUGCAGAGAACUUGUCCAAGACCAAUGCCAACAAACCAAAACUGGUCCUUUAUGGAGUCCACAAAAAUGUGAACUUAAAUGUAAUGUACUCUAAAACAGAGAUUUGGAUGAAAAAACAGAAGGAAUAUUGUGGAGAUAAUAAUGACAUAACAAGUCUCCCCCAACCUUGAUUGAGGUAUUAAAAAGUACAAAGAAUUUAAAAGGAAUUUAAAAGGAAAAUAGCAUCCAUACAUACACCUUAAUUCUCUGAGCUUUUUUUAAUUUGGGAGCUCAGGGACUUUUCCAGCUAAAUCUCUGACAUAUUUUAUAAGGAUUUAGUCCAAGGACCAUUAACAUUUGUCCAUCUCUCAUACAGUAUAUCAACCUAGUUUUCUAACUAGACAUCAAUGUUUCUCUUGUUCGUUGAUAUUUCUUUCAUUUGUUAUUUUAUUAUUCAAUCUUCUGUUCCCUAUAGACUUUAGUCUGUCUGCUGUCAAGAGUUUGCAUGGUAAUAUGAAUGAUUUACCUGACUUUUUGAACAUGACUGUGUACAGUUCUUCCAUUGCUUUGUUUUAUGAAUAAUGGCUGUAAUUGGCUUUAUAAAUAUCUUCCCAUAAACUUCUGGGCAUAUUUAAAGAAUCACAUUUGUUUUGUGUGAGGGUUUUUAUAGCUCAGAUAAACUCGAAUUUCGAAUGUUUGGGUAUUUAUGAAAAUAUUUGAAUGCCAAAAACACAAAUGAAAACUGACGGGGAAAAAAGCUGUAAUGAUCGAGUUCAUGUCCUGAAAAAACUCAAAUCAAUCCAAUUUAUGUCCCAAAAACUCGAAUUGAUUGAGUUAUCGGAUAAAAA
Xenopus laevis (African clawed frog) is the source of this 1480-nucleotide long non-coding RNA. RefSeq lists it as uncharacterized. NCBI's taxonomy places the organism in Eukaryota, Metazoa, Chordata, Amphibia, Anura, Pipidae. The record is from RefSeq and is a predicted model, not a curated record. The transcript is spliced from 3 exons.